This is a long non-coding RNA of Ictalurus furcatus (blue catfish), 2002 nucleotides long. RefSeq lists it as uncharacterized. The record is from RefSeq and is a predicted model, not a curated record. NCBI's taxonomy places the organism in Eukaryota, Metazoa, Chordata, Actinopteri, Siluriformes, Ictaluridae. The transcript is spliced from 3 exons.
UUUUAAUGAGCAGGGAUGUUUUUAAUCUGUUUACAUGGAGCGUGUGCUGUACACGCCAACGACCUGUUGCUAUGGAAACUAUACCGUAUUCGAACGAGCGCAUUAAUAUAAAACCCGCGAGGGAAAAUUAAUCGACAAAUUCAGAAUCCAGAAUUUUUACAAUGGUAUAAUAAUAGAUCACGUACAUCGCCUUCAGGACAGGGAGGAGGUGCGUACGUUUUUAAAUCCGAUCAUGAUGUUUUUUUCACUGUUAAUAUCAGGCAUGAGGAAAGCGUUCAGGAAUAUUACCAGCGCGUUGAAAGGGAAGGGGAGGGUGGGGGGUGUAAACUUUUGUAUUUAUGUGGACUCGCCUCCGGAAGCACGUUCAACACGACCUCCUUCCCGAUCGAUUGCCUGCCGAACCCGAAAGAGUUUAACGUUUUAAUCAAAAUCUGCAGAGUGAUUGCAGGAAAUGAGAUCAACACGGUUGUAAUGGAUUACUGGAAAGACUAAUAGCCGUCACGUACGUAUUUAUUUAUUUAUUUAUUUAUUUAUUUAUUUAUUUUAACAAAUUAUCCCCUGGGAAUGAAUUUCUUCCGAUUCCGCUCAGCACUCCAUCUCUCAUAUCUGUCUAGCAGCACUGUUCCGAGAAGAAUUUAUUUAUCUAUCUAUUUAUUUAUUUAUUUAUUUAUUUAUUUAUUUAUUUAUUUUUCUUUGGAGUCGUGGAACCCAUUAAAGCAGGAAGCAGCAGGAGUGCUUCAGAGGAUCCGAGGUCUACUCUGAGGGGUCCGGUGAUAUUGGGCUCUUCUGGACUCGCGGGUACGAGGGUGUAAAUAAACGCCGAGAGGAAGUGGAAGCGGCAGAAUUGGCCAGAUUGUGAUACUCCGAGGAGGAUAAUGAGAAGUGAUGGGGAAAGCAGACGGCGCGGAUAAAACGCCUCCAGGCAUGCUGAAUGCUGUUUAAAGGUUCUUCUGGACGAUUCGGUGCAGGACUUCAUUUGGUAAUGGUGGCAUUAAAACUACCAAAGAACCAAUCGGAAUUAGUCUGACCCCUUUCAACCCCAAACACAGGAAGACCUGCUUGUCACUUUCAAUCUCAACAUUAUCGAGAGCAUACUCACCUACUGCAUCUCCACCUGGUAUACCACCUGCCAUGCCCUGCAACGAGUCAUGGACAGGGCCCAGAAAUUCUUCGGGGAAUUCUUUUCCCGAUUCUUGAGGAUAUCUACAGAACCUGCUGUCAUCGCAGAGUAAUGCCCAGCUCCAGAGACCUGACGCACCCCUGCCACCACCUCUUCUCUCUCAUGCCCUCUGGAAGACACUUCAGGUGUCUCGGCCAGACAGAGGAACGGCUUCUACCCAGAACAGUCAGCCUUUUGAAUCAAACAAUGCAGCAAACAAAUGAGUUCCUGUCAGAUGCAUGCAGUAGAAAUGUUACUUUAUUAUGGACACUACUGAUCACAUGGCACUCUAUCCAGACUUUCAGCCCAUCAGCCCAUGUCACAGUGCAAACCAGUGCAACUCUCCACCAUGCACUAGGUACAUCUAGUUAGACAAACUCUACCUCUGAAUAUGUACAUUUACUGUAUAGACUUUUUUAUUUUUAAAAAAAAACAACAAAAAAACCUUGUGUAUCUCUUCAUAUGUACACUGAGCUCAACAGGCACUACCCAUUCAUACUGUACACUAUUGUAUAUUGUCCAUCCAUCCAUCUAUGCAUCUCCUGUACCACUUAUCCUACACAGGGUCACGGGGAGCCUCUCCCAAGGGACUCUGGGAACAAGCCUGAGGACACCCUGAACAGGGUGCCAACCCAUCACAGGGCACACAUACACUACAGACAAUUUGGAAAUGCCAAUCAGCCUACAACACAUGUCUUUGGACUGAGGGAGGAAACCGGAGUACCUGGAUUCGAACCCCCAACCCUGGAGGUGCGAGACAAACAGCCUAACCAUUAAGCCACUAUUGUAUAUUGUAUAUAUUGACAUACCUGUAAGCAUAUAUGUAUCAUAACUUAUAUGUAU